GGGUUUGUAGCUCAGUAGGUUAGAGCGCGCCCCUGAUAAGGGCGAGGUCGGUGGUUCAAAUCCACCCAGACCCACCA
This 77-nucleotide transfer RNA is filed under the name Gammaproteobacteria bacterium. RNAcentral describes it as "tRNA-Ile". It matches the Rfam family "tRNA". Rfam says of the family: Transfer RNA (tRNA) molecules are approximately 80 nucleotides in length. Their secondary structure includes four short double-helical elements and three loops (D, anti-codon, and T loops). Further hydrogen bonds mediate the characteristic L-shaped molecular structure. tRNAs have two regions of fundamental functional importance: the anti-codon, which is responsible for specific mRNA codon recognition, and the 3' end, to which the tRNAs corresponding amino acid is attached (by aminoacyl-tRNA synthetases). tRNAs cope with the degeneracy of the genetic code in two manners: having more than one tRNA (with a specific anti-codon) for a particular amino acid; and 'wobble' base-pairing, i.e. permitting non-standard base-pairing at the 3rd anti-codon position. Lineage: Bacteria; Pseudomonadati; Pseudomonadota; Gammaproteobacteria. RNAcentral also lists the same sequence under 2 other names. The record is from RNAcentral.